RNAcentral lists this ribosomal RNA (587 nucleotides) under uncultured fungus. Its description in RNAcentral is "eukaryotic LSU rRNA". It matches the Rfam family "Eukaryotic large subunit ribosomal RNA", at positions 62 to 662 of the family's 3401-position model. Lineage: Eukaryota; Fungi. The record is from RNAcentral.
AAACCAACAGGGAUUACCUCAGUAACGGCGAGUGAAGCGGUAACAGCUCAAAUUUGAAAUCUGGGUCUUUCAGGCUCCGAGUUGUAAUUUGUAGAAGAUGCUUCGGGUGCGGCUCCGGUCUAAGUUCCUUGGAACAGGACGUCAUAGAGGGUGAGAAUCCCGUAUGUGAUCGGUUGCUUGCGCCCAUGUGAAGCUCUUUCGACGAGUCGAGUUGUUUGGGAAUGCAGCUCAAAAUGGGUGGUAAAUUUCAUCUAAAGCUAAAUAUUGGCCAGAGACCGAUAGCGCACAAGUAGAGUGAUCGAAAGAUGAAAAGCACUUUGGAAAGAGAGUUAAACAGUACGUGAAAUUGUUGAAAGGGAAGCGCUUGCAACCAGACUUGCGCGUUGCCGAUUAUCCGGGGUUCUCCCCGGUGCACUCGGCCUCGCUCAGGCCAGCAUCGGUUUUGGUGGUGGGAUAAAGGCCUUGGGAAUGUAGCUCCUUUCGGGGAGUGUUAUAGCCCUCGGUGCAAUGCCGCCUACCGGGACCGAGGACCGCGCUUCGGCUAGGAUGCUGGCGUAAUGGUUGUAAGCGACCCGUCUUGAAAACAC